GUCUACGGCCAUGCUACCCUGAACAAGCCUGAUCCCGUCUGAUCUCAGAAGCUAAGCAGGGUUGGGCCUGGUUAGUACUUGGAUGGGAGACCACCUAGGAGACCAGGUGCUGUAGGCA
RNAcentral lists this ribosomal RNA (118 nucleotides) under Pteropus alecto (black flying fox). The record is from RNAcentral. Lineage: Eukaryota; Metazoa; Chordata; Mammalia; Chiroptera; Pteropodidae.